RNAcentral lists this ribosomal RNA (502 nucleotides) under uncultured bacterium. Its description in RNAcentral is "partial 16S ribosomal RNA". It matches the Rfam family "Bacterial small subunit ribosomal RNA", at positions 30 to 523 of the family's 1533-position model. The record is from RNAcentral.
AUUGAACGCUGGCGGCAUGCCUUACACAUGCAAGUCGAACGGCAGCACGGGUGCUUGCACCUGGUGGCGAGUGGCGAACGGGUGAGUAAUACAUCGGAACGUACCUUGUAAUGGGGGAUAACGUAGCGAAAGUUACGCUAAUACCGCAUACGACCUGAGGGUGAAAGCAGGGGAUCGCAAGACCUUGCGUUAUACGAGCGGCCGAUGUCAGAUUAGCUAGUUGGUAAGGUAAAGGCUCACCAAGGCGACGAUCUGUAGCGGGUCUGAGAGGAGGGUCCGCCACACUGGGGCUGAGACACGGCCCAGACUCCGACGGGAGGCAGCAGUGGGGAAUUUUGGACAAUGGGGGAAACCCUGAUCCAGCCAUGCCGCGUGAGUGAAGAAGGCCUUCGGGUUGUAAAGCUCUUUCGGCCGGGAAGAAAUCGCGCAGGCUAAUACUCUGUGUGGAUGACGGUACCGGCAUAAGAAGCACCGGCUAACUACGUGCCAGCCGCCGCCGUAA